Molecule: small nuclear RNA, 107 nt
Filed under: Neotoma lepida (desert woodrat)
Lineage: Eukaryota; Metazoa; Chordata; Mammalia; Rodentia; Cricetidae
Source: RNAcentral
GUGCUCACUUUGGCAGCACAUAGACGAAAAUUGGAACGAUACAGAGAAGAUUAGCAUGUCCCCUGCGCAAGGAUGACAUGCAAAUUCGUGAAGUGUUCCAUAUUUUU